This 383-nucleotide ribosomal RNA is filed under the name uncultured eukaryote. Its description in RNAcentral is "partial 18S ribosomal RNA". It matches the Rfam family "Eukaryotic small subunit ribosomal RNA", at positions 592 to 976 of the family's 1831-position model. The record is from RNAcentral.
CAAUAGCGUAUAUUAAAGUUGUUGCAGUUAAAAAGCUCGUAGUCGGAUUUCUGGUGGGAGCGAUCGGUCUGGCGCUUAGCGCGAGUACUUGCAUCGUCUCCGGCCAUCCUUGGGGAGAGUCUGUCUGGCAUUAGGUUGUCGGGCAGAGGAUCCUCAUCGUUUACUGUGAAAAAAUUAGAGUGUUCAAAGCAGGCUUAUGCCGUUGAAUAUAUUAGCAUGGAAUAAUAAGAUAGGACCUCGGUACUAUUUUGUUGGUUUGCGCACCAAAGUAAUGAUUAAUAGGGACAGUUGGGGGUAUUCGUAUUCCGUUGUCAGAGGUGAAAUUCUUGGAUUUACGGAAGACGAACUACUGCGAAAGCAUUUACCAAGGAUGUUUUCAUUAA